GAUGAAGAACGUAGUGAAAUGCGAUAAGUAAUGUGAAUUGCAGAAUUCAGUGAAUCAUCGAAUCUUUGAACGCACAUUGCGCCCAUUAGUAUUCUAGUGGGCAUGUCUGUUCGAGCGUCAUUAAUUCCACUUAAGCCCUGCUUAGUGUUGGGAAUCUACUCUAGUGGUGCUACCCUGGAGCUACCCCUGAAAGGGGGCUGGCCCGGUAGCUACCCUGUAGUUCCUCAAAGAUAGUGCGCGGAGUUGCGUGGUCCUCUGAGCUUAGUAACUAUACACCUAGCUUUUGAGUGUCCCGCGGCGCCUGCCGUUUAAACCCCAUCUUUUAAUGGUUGACCUCGGAUCAGGUAGGAAUACCCGCUGAACUUAAGCAUAUCAAUAAGCGGAGGA
RNAcentral lists this unclassified non-coding RNA (387 nucleotides) under soil metagenome. RNAcentral's name for it is "partial contains 5.8S ribosomal RNA, internal transcribed spacer 2, and large subunit ribosomal RNA". The stretch from base 1 to 120 matches the Rfam family "5.8S ribosomal RNA", at positions 35 to 154 of the family's 154-position model. The record is from RNAcentral.